GAUGAACGCUCGCUACAGGCUUAACACAUGCAAGUCGAGGGGAAACGACAUCGAAAGCUUGCUUUUGAUGGGCGUCGACCGGCGCACGGGUGAGUAACGCGUAUCCAACCUGCCCAUCACUUGGGAAUAACCUUGCGAAAGUAAGACUAAUACCCAAUGAUAUCCCACGAAGGCAUCGGAAUGGGAUUAAAGAUUUAUCGGUGAUGGAUGGGGAUGCGUCUGAUUAGCUUGUUGGCGGGGUAACGGCCCACCAAGGCAACGAUCAGUAGGGGUUCUGAGAGGAAGGUCCCCCACAUUGGAACUGAGACACGGUCCAAACUCCUACGGGAGGCAGCAGUGAGGAAUAUUGGUCAAUGGGCGAGAGCCUGAACCAGCCAAGUAGCGUGCAGGAAGACGGCCCUAUGGGUUGUAAACUGCUUUUAUAAGGGAAUAAAGUGGGUCACGUGUGACUUUUUGCAUGUACCUUAUGAAUAAGGACCGGCUAAUUCCGCG
RNAcentral lists this ribosomal RNA (492 nucleotides) under uncultured bacterium. RNAcentral's name for it is "partial 16S ribosomal RNA". It matches the Rfam family "Bacterial small subunit ribosomal RNA", at positions 28 to 507 of the family's 1533-position model. The record is from RNAcentral.